GUUGUGGCCUUCCAAGUGUGUUGUUAGGCUGCUGAGAUAUACUGGGUGCGGUGCGUUGUUGGCUCUCAGUGUGGUGUGCCUUCAUGGCUCCCAUUGAUUGUGGCCUCGCAGUGUAACGUAGCCCAGGUCGUAGCACCAGUUGUUGUAGUUGUCACCUUUUAAAGAGGAGCCUUUAAAGAGGUUGUUGUUGUCAUGAGCAUUACACCAUCGUAUUAACGGGUAGGUAAAUCGCUCUAAUCGCUAAAUAACUUCAGAUGUUUUAUUGUAGUUGUAA
Molecule: long non-coding RNA, 274 nt
Organism: Sinocyclocheilus grahami
Lineage: Eukaryota; Metazoa; Chordata; Actinopteri; Cypriniformes; Cyprinidae
Exons: 3
Source: RefSeq, a predicted model, not a curated record